UGGCCAGCCCUACACAGAGGAGCACACAGAGCUAGAGACCUCACUCGCUCUGUCAGCCAGGACUGUGGACUGAAGGAGCUGGACUCAGACUCGGGGGCAGCUGCAGGCUGCUGACUGAGUGCUCCAGGGACUCAAGGCUUGUUUGGGGAUACCUCCAGAGGUCCUGAACAAGGCAUAAAAGGACACUUCCUGAGUGAGCAGAGAACGAGUGAAUCGAGACAGCAAACAGGGCAGUUUCCUGGGAGCAAGAGAAGGAAGAGGAGUCAGGCACCAGACACCAGAUCAUGCUGCAGGAUGGAAUUACAAGCUUGCUCCAUAAGAGGAACCAGGUGCUGGCUAUAUCACAGAGUAAGCCCUCCUGAACACGAAGUGUCCAGGAAGUGUGACCUCCCAGAACAAAAUGUGGUGAUGCCGAUAGACACUUCAAGAUGUCAGAACAGG
This is a long non-coding RNA of Alligator sinensis (Chinese alligator), 441 nucleotides long. RefSeq lists it as uncharacterized. The transcript is spliced from 3 exons. The record is from RefSeq and is a predicted model, not a curated record. Lineage: Eukaryota; Metazoa; Chordata; Crocodylia; Alligatoridae.